ACAUUUGAUUUGAAUGAAAAAAUUAUUCGGCAUGGUAUGAAAAUUAAUUAUGAUUAACAAUCCUAGUUAUCAUAAUAAAACUGAUAUUAAUAAAUAUUGUUGACUAUCUAUAUAAAAAUAUAAGUAUUUAUAAGUCCAAAAUUUUGAAGAAGUGAUGUCUAGUAGUUUUGAUGUUCUAUUAGAAAGUUUUCAUAGUACAAGGGAGGGGUUUUCAAAAAGAAGUAAAAAACAAUAACAAUUUAAAUAUUUUCUUUUGAACUUUAACAAUAUAAAUAUUGAUGGAUUCUCAAAUUCACGUUCUAAUUAAAUGUCUCUCUAAAUGGAGAUACGUAAUUAGAAAUAUCUUUCUACAAGUUUACCCUUGGUUCUUAGAAGACACUGUGGUGCAAAUGGAUUAGAGACCCCUUUGAUUCAAGGUACAAAAGUAUGACUAGGUCACACUCAGAAAGUGGAACCCAUGCAUGUUCAUGUCUUUGUAGUUGAAUUGUUUGAGAAGUCAAUUUAAUGAAAACAAAACGUGAUAGCCAAUCUUUUUUUUCUUCUCUUAUUUAGCGUUUGCAUCUCUCCUUUGACUUGCAAAAAAAUCCACCAUUCUUUUCAUGAAAUGAUGGAAGUUACAAACUCACAUGAUUCACGAAACAAAGGACGUCGUCUCACCCCGAUGCGAUCAUCUCUCCCCGUAUCAACACAGCAAAAAAUGGCCAAUGAUGACAGGAAAAAACCACCAAAGAAAAAAGGACGUCUCACCCCGAUGCGAGCAUCUCUCCCCGUAUCAAACCCAGUGACUCUAGCGGAGCCUUUACUGAUCACACCAGUUGUUGAAGGACGUAAAGUGGAGAUAUUGAAAAGCAUCGUAUAUGGAGGUUUAGCAGAAGCAAUCACAAGCCUCGGUGUUAUCUCAUCUGCCGCUGGUUCAGGUGCUUCAACAUUGAACAUUUUGGUAUUAGGGCUUGCGAACUUAUUUGGGGGGCUUGUUCUCAUUAUUCAUAAUGUAAGCAAUCACUUAAUGUUUCCUAAUCUUUACUGGUCUGACAUUUUUUAAAUUUUCAUAAUGUCAUAAGCUCGAAUAAGAGCUUGUAUUUUUCAUAUAAUUUUUUUCCUAAGUAGGACUAAAAUUGUUGCAUAAAAUCAUGCAUGAUGCUCAAGACCGAGUCUGGAUCUUAAGCGAUCGGUUCCUUUGCCUAUGCUCUAAACCGGGUCUGAGUUAUGCUUAAACCCACAAUCUCAAUAAACUUACUGAGAAAUUUUUUUGGUAGCUCCACGAAAUCAGAAAGGAGGAAGUACCCAUUAGAGAAACAACAGCUGAAAGCCAGACCAAUGGUCCAAAAGAAAGUCGGUACAAGCGACUCUUGGGACGAAGAGAAAACUUCAUGCUUCACGCAACAGUCGCAAUCUUAUCCUUUAUAAUCACCGGACUACUCCCACCUGUCGUCUACUACUUCUCAUUCAGCAAAGCACACAACAAAGACUACAAAGUGGCAUCAGUUUUCGGUGCAUCUCUGAUAUGUAUCGCCUUGCUCGCUCUAGCGAAAGCUCACGUGAAGAACCCGAGAAGCAGCUACUUUAAGAGCGUUUUGUACUACGCUGCGACUGCUGUGUCUGUGUCGGGGAUUACGUACGUGGUUGGUAACGUUGUGAAUCAGCUGACUGAGAAGUACGGAUGGUCUGAAACUCCGGCGGGGGAGAUGAUGCUUUCACUUAUGGGGAGAAAGGCUGGUGGCUUUGGAUACUCAUCACCAUACUGAACAUAGAACUUUCGUCUCUGAGAAGGAUCCAACGUUUUGUUACUUUUCUCUUUUGCUUUGCUUUGUGAGCUCUUGUUAAACUUGUGUGUGUGUGUUUUAUAUAGAGAUGCCAAAUCUUUGUUGUGAGUGCAGGAGUUGUUUCCAAGGGUAGGAAACAAAAAAAAUAAUAAAUGGUGGCUGUAUUCGAAUUUUAUGAAUAUCAUACCAUUUGAUUUGUAUGAAAAAAUAAGAAAAAAGAAGGUUCUACCGAGAAUUGAACUCGGGUUACUGGAUUCAGAGUCCAAUGUCCUAACCGCUAGACCAUAGAACCAUUUGUUAUAGCAAUCAAUAUAGACAUAAAUAUCUAGUAUUAUCUCGCUUGCCGUAAAAAUACGCUACAACGACGACGACGUUUAAA
This is a long non-coding RNA of Brassica napus (rape), 2142 nucleotides long. RefSeq lists it as uncharacterized. Lineage: Eukaryota; Viridiplantae; Streptophyta; Magnoliopsida; Brassicales; Brassicaceae. The record is from RefSeq and is a predicted model, not a curated record. The transcript has 2 exons.